UACGAAGGGGGCUAGCGUUGCUCGGAAUCACUGGGCGUAAAGCGUGCGCAGGCGGUUCGUUAUGUCCGAUGUGAAAGCCCCGAGCUCAACUUGGGAAUGGCAUUGGAAACUGGCGGGCUGGAGUGUGGCAGAGGGGGGUGGAAUUCCACGUGUAGCAGUGAAAUGCGUAGAGAUGUGGAGGAACACCGAUGGCGAAGGCAGCCCCCUGGGCCAACACUGACGCUCAGGCACGAAAGCGUGGGGAGCAAACAGG
RNAcentral lists this ribosomal RNA (253 nucleotides) under uncultured bacterium. RNAcentral describes it as "partial 16S ribosomal RNA". It matches the Rfam family "Bacterial small subunit ribosomal RNA", at positions 524 to 776 of the family's 1533-position model. The record is from RNAcentral.